Molecule: small nucleolar RNA, 82 nt
Organism: Thunnus maccoyii (southern bluefin tuna)
Lineage: Eukaryota; Metazoa; Chordata; Actinopteri; Scombriformes; Scombridae
Product: small nucleolar RNA SNORD35
Exons: 1
Source: RefSeq, a predicted model, not a curated record
UGCAAAUGAUGUUUAUCUCACGAUGGUCUUCCAAGCUCAGAGCUUUGACGACAAUGCCUUAUGGCAACACUGAUGCAGCUUU